GUGCAGCAGUCGCGAAAACUUUACAAUGUGCGAAAGCACGAUAAGGGAACUCUGAGUGCCUCCUAAGGAGGCUGUUCUGAUGUCUAAAAAGCAACAGAAGUAAGGGCUGGGUAAGACCGGUGCCAGCCGCCGCGGUAACACCGGCAGCCCAAGUGGUAGCCACGUUUAUUGGGUCUAAAGCGUUCGUAGCCGGCCAGGUAAGUUCCUUGGUAAAUUUAGCCGCUUAACGGUUAAGCUUUCAGGGAAUACUGCUUGGCUUGGGACUGGGAGAGGUCAGAGGUACUCCGGGGGUAGGGGUGAAAUCUAUUAAUCCCUGGGGGACCACCGGUAGCGAAGGCGCCUGACCAGACCAGGUCCGACGGUGAGGGACGAAGGCUAGGGGCGCGAACCGGAUUAGAUACCCCUGUAGU
Molecule: ribosomal RNA, 410 nt
Filed under: uncultured microorganism
Description: bacterial SSU rRNA
Rfam family: Archaeal small subunit ribosomal RNA
Source: RNAcentral